Molecule: transfer RNA, 74 nt
Filed under: Miichthys miiuy (Mi-iuy croaker)
Lineage: Eukaryota; Metazoa; Chordata; Actinopteri; Sciaenidae
Description: tRNA-Lys
Source: RNAcentral
CGCUAAGAAGCUAAUAAGGGCCUAGCAUUAGCCUUUUAAGCUAAACACUGGUGGCUCCCGACCACCCUCAGCGG